GGGGUUGUGGCUCAAUGGUAGAGCACUUGCCUAGUAUGCGUGAGGCACUGGGUCUGAUCCUCAGCUCUA
This 69-nucleotide transfer RNA is filed under the name Marmota marmota marmota (Alpine marmot). It matches the Rfam family "tRNA". Rfam says of the family: Transfer RNA (tRNA) molecules are approximately 80 nucleotides in length. Their secondary structure includes four short double-helical elements and three loops (D, anti-codon, and T loops). Further hydrogen bonds mediate the characteristic L-shaped molecular structure. tRNAs have two regions of fundamental functional importance: the anti-codon, which is responsible for specific mRNA codon recognition, and the 3' end, to which the tRNAs corresponding amino acid is attached (by aminoacyl-tRNA synthetases). tRNAs cope with the degeneracy of the genetic code in two manners: having more than one tRNA (with a specific anti-codon) for a particular amino acid; and 'wobble' base-pairing, i.e. permitting non-standard base-pairing at the 3rd anti-codon position. Lineage: Eukaryota; Metazoa; Chordata; Mammalia; Rodentia; Sciuridae. The record is from Rfam by way of RNAcentral. RNAcentral also lists the same sequence under 3 other names.